Non-coding RNA from Nerophis ophidion (straightnose pipefish), 4338 nucleotides. Lineage: Eukaryota; Metazoa; Chordata; Actinopteri; Syngnathiformes; Syngnathidae. The record is from the annotation of a RefSeq genome assembly.
UUCUGACAAUUUCCCAGCUUUUGUCGUUGACAGGACAUCAAAAGGGUGGCAAACUAGAGCUGUUUUUUUUCUUCUCACCAGACUCCAAAAGUUUGCUGGACUUAACUGUUAAUUUGUACAUUCCUUAAUCAGUCCCUCCAGGAUUUCACAAUGUUUCCAAUUCACGCAAGUUCAACCAUUAUGCACGCCCCUAAACUUUGUCGUAUCCUCACAGUUUGACCGCGAACUUUGGCCAAUCAUUGACCUUUUUGCUUAUUGAAUACGUCCGAGCAGCACACAAACACAAUGCAACUGUUAACCAAUCAAAUGUCUCCCUGCAUCGCUCAACAUCUUCACUUCCUGGUUUACGUCAACAGAGAUUAUGUGAUGAUCCGUCAAAUUCACGUCUUGUCAUGUUUCUUUAGUUUGUGUUUAUUUCCUGUCAGCACUCUUAUUUUAGUUCCACUUCCUGCAUGUCUCCCGCAGCGCUCGUUUACCUCACCUGUCCAUGAUUGGCAGCCUGGCACACCUGGUUGCAGUUGCCUUGCAGUUGCCUUGCCCUCCAGUCAGGGCUCCAUAAUUGUUUCCUAUUUCCUGUUUCUUGUGUCAAUUAGAUUAGAUUAGAUUAGAUUAGAUUAGAUAGUACUUUAUUUAUUCCGUCAGGAGAGUUCCUUCAGGAAAAUUACAAUUAUCAGCACAAUCCCAUUCAAGAUCGAACAAACAUUACAGGGAGACAGAACAGGAUCGCUGACGGGUCUGCCGGCUUCCAGCGCCCCUUACAAAAAAGAUGAGAUACAGGUAAAAAAUAAAUGUAAAACAUCGGUCUUAGCCUGGGCCCUGGAGAGGGGGUGCCGACUGAGGCCAAGGGAAAAAAACAAAACAAAAAAAUAACUACUCAUAGCCAUAGUAGACAUCCCUCUUACAUGUUUGUAAGAGGGAAACAUCAGACAUCAAAGAACACAGAGGACAUUAAAGCAGCAGAUACAACCAGACACUUCUACAUACAGCUAUGAAUAAAAAGUCAAAUAAACAUAUACACUGUGGUGGCCUCUGCGGUGUUCCACGCCAUCGUCCGCUGGGGUGGAGGGAGCAUGGCCAGAGACAGGAGCAGACCAAACAAAGCAACCAACACAGCCGACUCCACUCUCGGCCAGUGUCCAGUCCGCAUGGAUGAGCGAUGAUACGUCCAAGGAGACUGAGGUGUCCGACACCUGCUCACCCAGCUAAGACACCGAGAAGCCUCUCCGUCCCAGCGCUCAGUGCUAGUUCCCCAGUCCUGUCACCUCAUCCGCAUCUCCUCCAGUCCCUCCAAACCUACUUCGGUGUGGCAGACACCCAGCAGCUGGUCUCCAUGGCCAAAAGGCUCCCGGGAGUUGUUGUUUUUUUUGUCAGUGUCAUUGUUCCCUACACUAUUUCCUUUUUGACAUCAAAGUCUUGUUUUCCUGUGCAACGCUUGCCAUCUGUGCAUCUUGGGGUUCAAGACCAACAGACCCUCACAGAAUUAUCCAGCCAAAUACAAACCCCCAGAGAUUUGGUGGGCUGUCUGGAGGCAACAAAUGGCUACUCGAGAGAAUGCUGCCGAGGAGAAGUGUACCGGCUUGGUCUCUAUGAUGGAUAAGCUCUGCAGCUUGUGUGCUGAAACUGGAACUGGAAUGACAACAACUGGAACUGGAGCGACAGGAGCUGGAGCGACAGGAACUGGAACUGGAGCGACUGGAACUGGAACUGGAGCUGGAACGAAAGGAACUGGAACUGGAGCAAGAGGAAUUGGAGCGAUUGUAACUAGAACUGGAGAGACUGAAACUGGAGUGGCUGGAACUGGAGCGACUGGAACUAAAACUGGAGCAACUGGAACUGGAACUGGAGCAACUGGCACUGGAGCGACUGGAACUGGAACUUGAACGACAGGAACUGGAACUGGUCUUGGCGCAGCGACUGGAGCUUGUCUUGGCGCAGCUACUGGAGCUUGUCUUGGCGCACUGACUGGAGCUUUUCUUGGUGCAGCCACUAGAGCUUGUCGAGGAAGUGCAGCGACUUUAGAUGCUAGCUGAAUAGCAGCAGGUUUAGACACUAGUCGAGAACUUGGCAGAGGUGAUCGAGCUGGGGGUUGCAGCUUGGCAUGCCGAUGGACUGCUGGUGGUGGACGAGCUCGAGUCUUAAGGGGCGCAGCUUGGCAUUCAGAAGGAGACUGUGGCUGACAAAAUCUAAAUUUCAGAAAAAAUUUCCUGAUAAUGUUUAAUUUUGGAAUUAAAGUCUUAAGGAGGUGGGUGACAAAGGGAAACAGAAGGAAAAAAAAUAAAAUUCUGGUCUGUGACUUCCUUUGAUGACGCCGGCGGAGUGAUGUCAUCGACGCGCGCCAGUUCAGUGACGUCAUCAGAGCUAGAGUGCAUUCUUCGACCGCCCAUGUAGUGAACUGUUCGGCAAAGUGAUGAAUCAGAUUACGAAACUUCGGCGGCGAGGAAUACUGCGCUGAUUGUGGCGUCCUGCUGUCCAGAGGAGGAGUUUGGGGGAAUGACGUGUCCUGGUGCCGAGGCGGAGCCUUUCUGGCUGGCUUCCGUCUUCGCCGGCGCGUCUCCAUCUCCUUAUUGUCAGCUGCUGGAGAACUGACACCCUGGCUUCUUCCUGUCACAAUUUGGGUUACAGCUCAAUGUGCGGUUUGUUCUCCCGGGAUGCAGAGCGGACAACUCCGGACAAAGCGUGAAGUUAGGUGUAUGGUUUAAUUUACAAAUUCAACAACACAAGACUUAGGAGAAAAGUGGACAUCGCACUGGAUGCUAGUUUAGCAUGAGCUAGGAGGCAAGCGAAAAAACAUUCGUAACAACAGCGUAAAGCAAAACAAAGAAGCCAGGACGGGUGACCGGCAAAGGCAGGCUUAAAUAGUGUCUCUGAUUGGAAACAAGGGAGCGUCCCGAACACAAGAGGCAGGUGAAAAUAAUUUGUAACCAUGGUAACAAACUCAAGAGGUGCACAAACAGGAACUGAAGGAGUCCAAAAUUAACCGAAAACACAAAACCUGAUCCGGACCACAGAUCAUGACAGUCAUGGACCCACCAGCUGUGGAACCUAGCUCUCCAACAGCUAAAAUUACUCAAUCAGUCCACAGUGAUGUUUUAGUGAAUUUAUUGAGGAAAACGAGUGACCAUGCCAGGAUUAAGAUGACUAAACUCAAAGGACAUGCUUUCUAAAUAUGAAAAUAAACAAACGGCAAGACAUUGUAAACAUGUAAUAUUCACGGCAAUGUUCCCAACAGUUCGUUCCAGACCGUCUGCUUCGUGUCGCCCUCACAGCCUGCUCUCCUUCAUAUCUCUUCCCCUGCUGUGAGGUAAGGGCCCUGUCAGUCACAUGAUGAUGCGUUGCGAUUUCAAAACAAGAUCACGUAUACCUCUCCAUAUAUUUUUUGGGGACAAAUGCCUCAUUCUCCAAUAAUGAAGUAUUGAAGAGGCACGCUUUCCCCCAGUACUACACCUAUGUAUGUGAUGUGUUUGUGAAGUGCCUCCCUCUUUUGAAUAUGGCCCCGCCUCCUCAGCCACCAAGUCAGAGUGCACUCAGCACAGGAGUGCAAACAUGAGGCGUGCAUUGGUGUGUGUGCUGAUGGCUGCUUGGAGCCUUGGAUGUGGCAGCCAGACGGAGCACCAGCCAGGAGAGAAUGUGUACGCCAUGAAAGGCGACUCAGUUACACUGGAGUGCAGCUAUGAAAACUCUGGAGGCAACGACUACAUCUUCUGGUACAAACAGGACGGGCAAGCGGCACCAAAGAUCAUCCUGAGCCUCUUCAUGAAGAGUCAGGGCAAGACUGAGAGCAGCUUUGAAAAGAGGUUCAGCUGCAGCAUCAAUGACACCGCCAAGCGAGCUCCUCUGAAGAUCCAAGACGUGCAGCUGAGCGACUCUGCAGUCUUCUACUGCGCCAUUCAGCCCACAAUGACUGACAUCUCUGCUGCACCUGCACAAAAACCUCUGUAGGCUCCUCAUCCCACUGUGGCUGUUUGAGAGCUGGUUCUGAGGAUGUUUUCACAACUUUUAUCGUUGUCAGGACAUGACAGGGAUGGCGAACUGGAGAUGUUUUUUUAUUCUCACCAGACUCCAAAAGUUUGCUGGGUUUAACCAAUGAUUUGUACAGCAGUCCCUCAAAGAUUUCGCGAUGUUGCCAAUUCACACAAAUUCAACCACUAUGCGUGCAUCUUAACUUUGUCCAAUCCCCCCAGUUUUGCCGCACAAUUUGGCCAAUCAUUACAUUACGAUAGCACAUAUACAUAAGCAUGAAAACACUCCUACAGACAUCACAUGUGGGACGGUUGAAUAAAUAGAAAAAUGUUUCAGUUAAACUGUGAAACUUACAGGCAAUAAAUGAUAAAUGAAGAA